This 253-nucleotide ribosomal RNA is filed under the name uncultured bacterium. RNAcentral's name for it is "partial 16S ribosomal RNA". It matches the Rfam family "Archaeal small subunit ribosomal RNA", at positions 474 to 727 of the family's 1478-position model. RNAcentral also lists the same sequence under 3 other names. The record is from RNAcentral.
UACCAGCACCCCGAGUGGUCGGGACGAUUAUUGGGCCUAAAGCAUCCGUAGCCGGUCAUGCAAGUCCUCCGUUAAAUCCACCUGCUUAACAGAUGGGCUGCGGAGGAUACUACAAGGCUAGGAGGCGGAAGAGGCAAGCGGUACUCAGUGGGUAGGGGUAAAAUCCUCUGAUCCAUUGAAGACCACCAGUGGCGAAGGCGGCUUGCCAAUACGCGCUCGACGGUGAGGGAUGAAAGCUGGGGGAGCAAACCGG